UAAAAGUAAAAUAAAUACCGUACGUGAUAUGAAUGUAGUAUGUUUUAAGAUUACACCUAAACUAGAUCCAUCCUAGUUUUCAUCUCUGGGAAAACAUGAGUUUCUUUGGGGGCAGCAGCAGAGGUGGUGGGUUUGAAGGACUGGGGGACUUCCUUGGACAAUACAGUCUGAACAAAGAGAAUCAGUGGACAAAUCUGACCUGAUAAAUAAGUCUUAGUCAUCUGAGGGGCGGAAUGAUGUGAUGAGUCGCUUGAAUGUAUCCUUAACAUAGUAUUUCCUUUCAGCACUGACUCAUAGGAGAAUUUUAGGAAGAAAGAAAGAACUAUGACAUAGAACUGAAAUUACUAUGUGAGAUAGAUAUCUUAUAGCUAUAAGGCAUUGGACAAAAGUUUUUAUCCUUUAAUAGAGAAUAAGAAAAAAGGAUGGAGGCCUUGUCUUCUAUUUUGCCUCAGAAAUAUCGUGCAUUAUAGGGACCAGAAGGUGCACUGGUAAUAUGAUAUCCAGACAGGUCGUAUCAGAAAGCGUCAAAGAUGUCAUGCAAAGGCAUCAGUACCCACUGGAGCUCACAGUCACUGUUGAUUACUAUCCGUGUAAUCAACAAGGAUGGAAGGAGGAACAGAAGAGUGCAGUGGUGGCUAGACAGAGUUUUGCAUCUAUUUUCGUGCUACCUUGAAAUACCUGGAACAGAACUCUAUAGAGGGUAUUAGCAAGUGACAGGUUACACACAAACUAGAUAUGUUGAGGAAGAUGAGUUAAUGGAGCCACUGUGCAGUCUGAGAAAGCUUCAUGAAGCAGGAAGAUUUCUGCUGGACCUAGAUUUAUAAAGAGAGAUGAAGGUGGUGGGGAAAAGCAGUACUGAAAGAUGAAGAUGAGCAAAAACAAGAAAUAUUUGUGAUCUGUGUGGGAGAUUGUGAAUAUAGCUGUGACUGUAACUCUGUCUACACUGAGAGAGAAUAGUGAGAAACUGGGUGAGAAAUGGAUAUUGGGGCCAAAAUUAAAAAAACCUGUAGCUCCAUCAGCUCAAAAUAGGAAUCCCCUGCUAUGAAGUUUUCAGACUCUUUCAGACAGGCAUAUUUCCCUAACCAGGCAGUAAGUACUUGGCAUAUUUUAUUGUCAAUUUUAAAAAGCUCUGUGAGGAAGUACUACUAUAUUUUCUACACAUCAAAAUUGAGGCUGAGUUUAAGUAACUAGCCCAACGUGACACAACAACAGUGGAGUAGGCAUUUGAGACCAGAUGUAUGGGGUUCACACGCCACUAUAACACAUCACCUGUCCUAAUUUUGCUCUAGUAACUGAUGAGUUCUCAGUGGGGUCAUUUCACGUUUCCUCACUGUGUUCUAUUUCCUCGGAUAAGAUAAUAGUGAUUCUCCAUUACAUAAAGAUAGAAAAAACAUUAAUGGUGAUCUCUCAGUUUUUGAAAUCAGUUCUUUCAAUAAUGUUUACUGUUAUAUUUUUUGAAGACAGUGAAUUUUAAGUUUUUUAUUUGGGUGCCUUGCAAUGAGUCUGCCCACAUCAUGUAUUCUCCAGUGAUUCAUGUUUGUAUGUUAAAACUAUGGGAGAUGAGGUGCCUGGUACCUUCAUGAAAGAUACGUUCUUUUGCCCUCAGUGACCUAGAGGUGGCGUUUAAGCGUUAAGGGAAAUAAGAAGAGAGAAAGGAAAUAGAUUUUUAAAAGGAACAUGAGGCAGGUGAAGGAAGUGUUGAUGACAAGGGAGAUUGGAAUUAGAUUCCCCCAUGUGGGUGAAGUGAUUAGGCUUGACUUGGUUUACUUACCAAAUGAACUUCAGAGUUGACAAGACCAGCCUUCUGGACCAGAAAUAGACAUGACUUAAGGCUUUUAGAUACCCGUCCUGACCAAAAAAAAUCAAUAAAGCGUCUCUCUACUGCUGAAAGAGGAGGAUCCUUCUAUCAACUCUAAAUACCUGUGAGCAUCUAAAUUAAUUAGUUUCCAGGAAACUGUUAAAAGUUGCUUUGAAGACAGUGGAGAAUUACCCAAAGAAUAAGCUACCAUGAUGGCCCACCCUAAGGAAGGCUAACAGCAGUAACUGGGAAAUCGUGUUCCUGAGCGUGGUUGGAAGACAGCAGCACCCUCUUAUGUUCAGUGGGAGGUACCUAAGCUCCUUUGCCGCCCCUUCUGACUGCUUUAUGUAAAAUAUAUUUAAGCACACUUUAUCUUCCUGAAUCAGUUUGACGUAGCAAGGAUAGCCUACCAAGAAAGUUCAUCCUUGGUAGAAAAAUCCAAUUUUAAGAGGUAAAGGAAAGAAAGUACGUUACACAGUUCAGAUAUUAUUAUGCAUGGUGUGGCUUUCUCCUCAUUUAAAUCGGGAAAAUUUUUCCAAGUUAUUUAUGAACUCAGUGAAGAAAUUAAAGUGUGCUAUCAAAUAUACCUUGAUGUCUGUUUAACCCAAACAUUAGUCAUGCAUUUUCAAAUUUCCAGGUGAAAAAAAUAUAUAUCCUUAGUUACUCUUUCAAAUGCCCUUUGCAGAAAUGGGCCUUGGAAUAACUCAGUAGAGGCUUGAUAAGGUAGUGGUGGAACAGAGGAAUGAUGGAAAAUAAAUUAGUCUCCAGGAAACAUUAUUUUGAUAUUUACAGUUGGAAUUAAUUUUUAUGCAUGAGUCUCUGAGGUGAUAGUGUAAAAUGGAUUCUUCAAAUAUGUUCAUAGAUACCAUCAUUUUAUUAACAUACCAUUAUUAUUGCAAUAAUAAUGAAUAUUACUGUAACUCCUUUUUAGCUCUCAAGUAGAUCCAGUUCCCCCCACCUUCUCUGCUCCUGGACUGAUAUAAUAGACUCUUAACUGUUCCCCAUAGCUCCAGUUUGGCUCCUGCUCAGUCUGUUUGCCAUCAGGUGGGGCUUAGUGUCUGCAGGGUAGUGGAGUUCCUCUUUUGUCCAUUGCUCUCUAUGUGGCAGGAGAGUAGCAAGGUCUGAUGCAUUUGCUAAGGAAAUCAGUUCUAGCUCUGGUGUCUGGUUUAUAAGUCUAAACAUUACCAUGUCAGAAGAGCACAGACUUCUAGCAGCAUUACUCUCUAGAUACAGAUGCCAGGAAUCACUCACUUAGGUGCAUCUGCUGCUAUAGGAUUAAGUCUUAGUGUUGGUAUUUGUAUUUCCUCCCCUCCCUGGACCUAAAGGGAGCCUUUGUUACCUAAGUUAUAAUAACAGCCUUAACCCCCUCUUAAAGAGAAGGUGUUAAUUCGAUAAAGUAGUAGAAAGCAAAGUGAAUUACAACAGAAUUCAAGCAGAGGGCCUCCUUCCUCUGAUGGGGAGCUUGGAAAAUUUUGUACAGUGCUUCACUGAAUUCCCUGGGCUCUGAGGCACUUGGGUCCUUGUGGAAUAGUACUUACUGUUAGGAAUUUUGUUAUAAGAUUACCAAGUGACCUUUUUCCCUGAAUGAAAGAUUCCAGAGAGUUUCUGUGCCUUGCCAAGUAUGGUAAAUUUUAGCCCAGUUCCAUUUGCCUAUAGAAAAGGAUCACUAGGCUUUUUCCACUGGCAGGAUUAGUUGGUAAUUAAGGGCAUCAAAAACAGUGCAAAUAGGAUCAUGAAAUACCUUAUUUACCAGAGCUGCAUUCUAGCUCAAGAUAACGAAUAGGCAUGAAAUAAAUGAUCUUUUCCAAGCAAGGAGGUGAAAGAGCAAGAGAACACAUGGUCAGCUCACAUAACAGGUGAAAAACAAUUAUAUUGGGAGUUCAGAACAUGCUGGAUUCCUUAUUAAAAUAAAAGUCAGCACACAAAUACAAACUGAGUCACUAUGAUGUGAGAGGCAUUAUCCUAAGUUCUGAUGAUGGUGGAGAUCCAGAAAGAUCGAUCCUAAUGGUAAGGACCAUAAGAAGCUUAAGGGAUUGGUGGUUUGGAAUUGGCAUCUGCACACUGUGGUAUAUGGAAUAAUUGGCUAAUGGGGACCUGCUGUACAGCACAGGGAACUCUCCCCAAUAUUCUGUGAUAAUCUAUAUGGGAAAAGAAUCUGAAAAAGAAUGGAUAUGUGUAUAUGAAUAACUGUCAUAUAGCAGAAAUUAUCACAAUGUCGUCAAUCAAGGAUACUUCAAUAAACCUUAAAAACAAAGAAUCUUACAUUAUUUUGGGGGGAGGUGUAUUCUAAAAUGUCAGAAGAAACUGAGUGACUCAAAGAGAGGUUAAAGGCUUUAUUUAGCUGAUCUGCUUAGGCAGCAUCUGAAGAUCAGGUAACUCUCCAAGUGUCAGCAGGGUUGAAAUUUUUACAGCGAGAGAUGAGAGGAGGGGUACCUGUCCUGGUCUGGCUCACUUAGAAGAUUUCAUCUUCAGCUGCUGUAAUUCUUGCUGUUGGAGAUUGUUUUGGUCGUUUGGCUUCUUGCUCAAAGUCGUUGUAUUAUCACCUCCAAAAUUGUCAGAACAUUUCUUUUGAAGCCUAUUUUUAUAAACUUGGCCAUCUAUUGGUUGGUCAAGGUUCAAGGGCAGGGACUACAGGAAUAAAAAAAGGGAAAGAGAAUCAAAAAGGAAGCGAGGCAGUUGUCAAAGGCAGUUCUUUUACAGAAAGCAUCACACAAAUAAAACAUCAGAGCUACAGUAUUUGUAAAUUGAAUCAAAAAAGUAAAUUCAGGAAAGUGUGGAAGAGAGUUGUUAGAGAGACAUCUCAAGGAGACAUUCAGGUUGAAACCUUAAGAAAAGCUGAAUAGGAGAAAGCCGUAUGGAGUUUUUUGAGACUUGGCAACUAUAGAUGCCAGGAAGUGGGAACACUCCGGGCAUACUUUCGGAGAAGACAGAAUAGAGACAGAGGUGGGAGACAAAGAUCCAGGUAGAGGGUUUGUAGGAUGUGCUUUGGUAUUUGGUGAGCCAGGAGGAGAGGAAAAUAAGGAUGCAGAAAAGUUCAUAUUUGAUUGUAGGUAUUUUGAACUGGCACUGGCCCUUGCUGCCUUGAGCGGGUGUUUAGAGCAGACUCUGAUGGGGUGUUUGGAGUGGUGUCUCUCAGACAUCCAUAUGCUUCGAAAUCAUCGGGGCAUUUGGUUCAAAUGCAGAUUCUAACUCAAAAGGCCUGAGAUAGGGCCUGGUAUUCUAUUGUCUAACAAAGUCCCAAGUCCCAAGUUUGAUGCUUAAGAGUGCCCGGAGUAGGGGGCUUCAGGGGCUUCUUUGGAGACUCUUCUGUCCAACUCCCCUCAGGAUUCAAGGCAUGAGAAUGAGCACACCUACGUUUUACUGUCUUUCUUCUUCCCCAUGCAAAUUUCCAUGGGGAGGCUUUUCCUCAGUCUACCUGUGAGCCCACAUGACACCAAUGUCUCCUUAGAUGACUGGUUCUUGAUAGAUUUCCAAUUCAAACUGAAAAAUGGCAAAAGCAAUUUAAAUCACCUUCCCUCCAGGUGUUUUUAAUAUGUUGAGCUUAUUCUAUCAUUCGUUUUUUUACACAUUCUACCUUGUCUCUGAGGAAGAGUAAUCAUUGUUCAAUGAAAAAUACUAAUUUCUCACUUUAUUUCCAGAGCUAUCUUUUUCUCCACUUGGGAACCCUGUAGACUGCAGACAACACACCCUCAAAGUAUCCAUCCCCCUUUAAAUACUGGAAAUUCUAAAUUAUGCUAAGUCAGGUAAAACUCAUUUCUUGGUGGAAAAACAAGGUGUUUGUAAGUGCAUGUAUGUAAAGGCAGUGAUUAUUCUAAAAUCUGCCUAAACAAACUAAGAACAAUGGGGAAAUUUUUCCUCUUCGGUGCUUAAUUAUCUUAGAAACCCUAAGUAUUUUGCAUUCUCUUUACAAACACAAAGUAAGGGGGAAAGACGCCAAACAAACUGACCUUAAUAUUUUGCUUCAUUGCUUAAUUUUAAGGCAAGAAUUUUGAUGAAGAGCAACAGGCUGAAGAUAUUAGUAGGCCUAGGGUCUGCUCAGCAACCUACUACAGGUGUGAACUUCGGCUAAUUGAUUAGGCCCUUCUGAGUCUCAGACUCCUAUAUGGAGUCUGGAUUAUAGCAGCAUUUCAUGUUUGUAACCGUUAAAUGUAAAUGAGAAGCAAAGUCUCUGGUACACUGUAAGCUCUCAGGAGAUGUUAGGAAUUAAUAUUAGUAGUAUGAUUGCUAAUGAUUCUUUUUCCACGAGAAGAAAUCCGAUUCAGGAGGAACUGGCUGGCAGAGCCUUCAAAACUUGGUCGUGAUCUGAAGCUCACAUACCAGCUGCUAAUUUGCUUGUUUAUUUCAUUUGAUUUUCCUUAGCUGCACAGAAGGGAGGUGGGUGGCAGAAGCUUAAUUUAUUUGUCC
Molecule: long non-coding RNA, 6202 nt
Filed under: Sus scrofa (pig)
Lineage: Eukaryota; Metazoa; Chordata; Mammalia; Artiodactyla; Suidae
Description: lncRNA (ENSSSCG00000060927.1)
Source: RNAcentral